RNAcentral lists this ribosomal RNA (253 nucleotides) under uncultured bacterium. Its description in RNAcentral is "partial 16S ribosomal RNA". It matches the Rfam family "Bacterial small subunit ribosomal RNA", at positions 524 to 776 of the family's 1533-position model. The record is from RNAcentral.
UACGUAGGGGGCAAGCGUUGUCCGGAAUCAUUGGGCGUAAAGCGCGUGUAGGCGGCCCGGUAAGUCCGCUGUGAAAGUCGGGGGCUCAACCCUCGAAUGCCGGUGGAUACUGUCGGGCUAGAGUGCGGGAGAGGCGAGUGGAAUUCCCGGUGUAGCGGUGAAAUGCGCAGAUAUCGGGAGGAACACCAAUUGCGAAGGCAGCUCGCUGGGACGUAACUGACGCUGAGACGCGAAAGCGUGGGGAGCAAACAGG